GGUUCAAACCCUAGCCUAUCCUCCACCUACUUCCUCCCUGCGCCGCCACUCUCUUUCGUUUUGCCUCUCCGGCCGCUCGCGCCGCGCGCUACAACCGUCGUCGUCGACCACGUCCGUCUCCGGCCACCCGCAGCAGUCCGCGUCCGUCCCCGAUCAUCACACCGACACCCAAGGCUGCGCCUCCGCGUCCUUGCCUCCACCCCGACGAAGCCCAGCCCCGACGGCCGCUCCGCCGGCCUGCAAGCCGGCGCGGCAUGGCCUGCAGCUCGACUUCGAGCGCGACCGCGGCUCCCUACGGCGCUUCUUCCGGUGCCGUCCCGGACGUCCUCGUUUCCGAUCGCGUCGGCCGGCGUCAAGGCUUUCACCAUCGGCCGCAGCUCGUCCCGGGCGUCCCCUCGCUCGUCCUCGCCGCAUGUCUCCGCCAUCGCUCAAGUUCGUCACCAUUGUCUUCCUUUGCGUCGCCCAGGUUCAAGGAGUGGCCUUUCUGCACCUCAACUUGGCUAUCGAUCGUCUGCGUAUUCACGUUCACCACCAGCAUGUCGACAACUCUUUGCUGAUACUGCCUUCGUCCGUCAGUCUCUGUCAGCGUUGUGCAAAGGCUGGACUGCGUCUUCAUUUGAUUCAAAUAAAACCAGCUAUUCCACUUUAACAUGAUCCGAUCUGCAGUCUAGUGCCGGAUCUGCGUCGUCUAAUCGUUGCGGCUGGCCGGCCACAUGGUCCAGGUCGUCUUCUUGGUUCGGCUUAUGAAGGGUCGCAGCUGCAGCUCAUCAUAUUCUUGCAGUGGCUCAUCUGCUGGGUCCCGCCGUCAGCGCCGCAUCUGCAGUUCACCAUCCCAGUCAGCAUCCAAUCAGUCUGGGUCCCGUUUGUCAGUCUCCUAGGUUAGCUGCUGCCAGGUGAGAAAACUCCCAACCUUAUCUCUGUUUUGCUGAAAUUCCAGAAAAUAUCAUAUUCUCGCAUAAAUCAUAUCUCUCAAAUCCGUGGCUCUAAAUAAAAUGUUUUAUAUAUGAAAAUUGUUUAGUAAAACAUGUAGAACAUUAAUAUGCCAUCCAUAUGCCUGUUUGCAUCUCGCAUCAUGUCGCGUGUUGAU
Lolium perenne is the source of this 1087-nucleotide non-coding RNA. The record is from RefSeq and is a predicted model, not a curated record. NCBI's taxonomy places the organism in Eukaryota, Viridiplantae, Streptophyta, Magnoliopsida, Poales, Poaceae.